CAGCCUAUUGAGUCCACUGGUCCCACUCAUUCACUCAGCCUAUUGAGUCCACUGGUCUCACUCACACAGAACUACCCUACGCCUUGACCUCUUUCUCCCCUCUCUCUCCAGAACUAACCUACGUCUUGACCUCUUAUGAAAUUGCUUAUUCCAGUUACUAAUAAGCAUACACCCAUUAAGAAAAUUACUGUAAAAACGAUUAAAUCCCCGUGGAUUGAUGAGGAAUUGAAAAAUUGUAUGGUUGAGAGGGAUGAGGAAAAAUGUAUGGCAAAUGAGUCUGGCUACACAACCAACUGGCAAACAUAUUUGCCGUGGCGGCAGGUAGCCUAGUGGUUAGAGUGUAUGGGCGGCAGGUAGCCUAGUGGUUAGAGUGUAGGGGCGGCAGGUAGCCUAGUGGUUAGAGUGUAGAGGCGGCAGGUAGCCUAGUGGUUAGAGUGUAAGGGGGGCAGGUAGCCUAGUGGUUAGAGUGUAGGGGCGGCAGGUAGCCUAGUGGUUAGAGUGUAGGGGCGGCAGGUAGCCUAGUGGUUAGAGUGUAGGGGCGGCAGGUAGCCUAGUGGUUAGAGUGUAGGGGCGGCAGGUAGCCUAGUGGUUAGAGUGUAGGGGCGGCAGGUAGCCUAGUGGUUAGAGUGUAGGGGGGGCAGGUAGCCUAGUGGUUAGAGUGUAUGGGCGGCAGGUAGCCUAGUGGUUAGAGUGUAGGGGCGGCAGGUAGUCUAGUGGUAAGAGUGUAGGGGGGGCAGGUAGCCUAGUGGUUAGAGUGUAUGGGCGGCAGGUAGCCUAGUGGUUAGAGUGUAGGGGCGGCAGGUAGCCUAGUGGUUAGAGUGUAGGGGGGGCAGGUAGCCUAGUGGUUAGAGUGUAGGGGCGGCAGGUAGCCUAGUGGUUA
This 880-nucleotide long non-coding RNA is filed under the name Salmo salar (Atlantic salmon). RNAcentral describes it as "lncRNA (ENSSSAG00000091039.1)". The record is from RNAcentral. Lineage: Eukaryota; Metazoa; Chordata; Actinopteri; Salmoniformes; Salmonidae.